UUAUUGUUUGGGAUUAAAGUGUAUAC
RNAcentral lists this non-coding RNA (26 nucleotides) under Rattus norvegicus (Norway rat). Lineage: Eukaryota; Metazoa; Chordata; Mammalia; Rodentia; Muridae. The record is from RNAcentral.